RNAcentral lists this microRNA precursor (68 nucleotides) under Oryza sativa (Asian cultivated rice). RNAcentral's name for it is "miR395p stem-loop (osa-MIR395p)". Its record names the gene osa-MIR395p. It matches the Rfam family "mir-395 microRNA precursor family", at positions 11 to 94 of the family's 104-position model. From Rfam's summary of the family: mir-395 was identified in both Arabidopsis thaliana and Oryza sativa computationally and was later experimentally verified. mir-395 is thought to target mRNAs coding for ATP sulphurylases. The mature sequence is excised from the 3' arm of the hairpin. Lineage: Eukaryota; Viridiplantae; Streptophyta; Magnoliopsida; Poales; Poaceae. The record is from miRBase by way of RNAcentral.
GAGUUCCCUUCAAGCACUUCACGUGGCACUAUUUCAAUGCGUACCGUGUGAAGUGUUUGGGGGAACUC